This is an RNA transcript of Rosa rugosa (rugosa rose), 1764 nucleotides long. RefSeq lists it as uncharacterized. The record is from RefSeq and is a predicted model, not a curated record. The transcript has 9 exons. Lineage: Eukaryota; Viridiplantae; Streptophyta; Magnoliopsida; Rosales; Rosaceae.
CUUGGGAAAAUUUUUUUUAAAAAAAUGACGGGGCGGAACCCAUCAUCGCUCAAAACUGUGCGUUUGAGCCUUUGAGGUGAUAGCAGCGCCAUUUGAGUUGGAAGACAAACACCUGCUGCCGCCUCCUCAUCUAGUUCAGCUGUGUGUUGCUUUUGACGAAUCAUCAUGGGCCUGCAUAACCUACCAUUUAAAGUUGGACAGGACAUAGAAUCGAGAUCCUUUAUGAAAGGUUAUCGUGGUGCGUGGUUCCGAUGUAAGAUAAAAGAUUUUGGCUGGAGAAAUGGUCAGCUGUCGUGUGCUUUGGAAUAUUAUGACUUUCCAGAUGAAAAAAUAACUUGGGAGAAGAUAUAUCAAAACAACCCUGCUGAUGGUAAAAGGACAAGAAAGGAGAAGACAUUGAUGCUGCGUCCUCCCUUUCCUCCUAUCUAUCGUGAAAGUAAAAGGCCUGAUGUCAAUACCAUAUUGGAAGUGAUAGUUAUUGUCAAUGAUGCCUGGAAAGUGGGAGAUUUAGUUGAUUGGUGGAAGGAUGGUUGUUAUUGGUCUGGAAAAGUAGCAGAAGUAUUAGGGGAUGAAACAGUGAAGGUUGAGUUGCCACGUCCUCCUGUUGGUGAAGGAGUUGAAGGAGAGAUGUAUGAGGCUUCUUACAAGGACCUGCGCUCAUCCUUGGAUUGGUCUCUAGAAUAUGGAUGGACAGUACCUACACCCAAGGAGAGAGAAAAUGGGCAUCCUUGUGUUCAAGUAAUUAAGCCUGAUAAUCAAGGAGACAUUCCAAGCGUGGUGGCCCAAACUGUAGGUGAUGGAAGAAGAGAUGUACAGGCAAUUGCUGGUGCAGAUCAAUCUUUAGCAGCAAAGGAGUUAGCAGCAAAGGACCCAGCCACUGCAGAAACAAAUAUGGCGUCUGAUGUAGCAGAUAGCCUUUUUGGGAAGACGAGUUGCUCAGAUAGUGGUUCAAGUUCGCAUGUGAAAGAUGCAUUAAAUAAAAUGGGGGGAACUGCAACUAGGAUAGACAUUGUUGAUAACGAUAGGUCCUUGAAGAAGAUGAAAACUGACGAAGGCAUAAUAUUGAAUUCGAUGAGCUCUGAUACAUUAGAAGCUGCAAUUUUGGACUUGGAGGAACUUGUAAACCGGGUUAAAUGGAUGAAAGGUAUGUUGGAGACUGGAAUGCCUUUGACAGGUGCCAUGCGCCCCCAUUGGAAAUUUCUUGGAAAUCAUACCGUGUUUACGCCAAGUGAAGGUUUUCACUAGUAAGUCAAAUGGAAGGCAGGAGAAAACUGGACAUGACAAUAGUUCAUCUCUGUUCAAUCUAGUAACUUCUAGAAUUACACCUUUUCUGAUGGAUUUUGUGUAUACCUCUAUAGUUGGAGGUUGAUGAUGUUUUAUCAUCCUGUUCCAGCCCAAGAAGGCAAGGAGCGGCGGAGCUAUCGGGAAUGAGCGAUGUAAUUUGUUUGUCCAGUUUCUAAAACCUGACAUGACGAAAGCUUUCCGUUGCCUUGGUUACUCAGAGUGGUCGUGUAUAGGCUUCCAUUCUAUACAAUUUACUUCUGUUAUUGUUUGUAUUUUAAGUGUCACAUUGCAUGUUUUGCGUCUGAAGUUCUGAACUGACAUCUUUUAAGUGACAAGGGCCAGGCUUCCACUUCGUAGUGAACUGAAAGAGUGAAGUUGUAUCUUAAUUAUUAUAUCCAUCAUCUCAAGUUCUCCAUUGCUUUCUUUGUAAAAAUGUAAAUACUGCGACACGAUGUGGAGUUCAUGCAUGGAUUUUUCAUA